UUGGUGAGGUAAAGGCUUACCAAGGCUUCGAUCAGUAGCUGGUCUGAGAGGACGACCAGCCACACUGGGACUGAGACACGGCCCAGACUCCUACGGGAGGCAGCAGUGGGGAAUUUUGGACAAUGGGGGCAACCCUGAUCCAGCCAUGCCGCGUGAGUGAAG
RNAcentral lists this ribosomal RNA (162 nucleotides) under uncultured beta proteobacterium WSS26. RNAcentral describes it as "partial 16S ribosomal RNA". It matches the Rfam family "Bacterial small subunit ribosomal RNA", at positions 249 to 410 of the family's 1533-position model. The record is from RNAcentral. Lineage: Bacteria; Pseudomonadati; Pseudomonadota; Betaproteobacteria. RNAcentral also lists the same sequence under 1 other name.